CACUCUGCUUGGUGGGAAGAUUGACUGAGGAUGUAAAUUGGCUAACUAGCUGCUCGUUUGCUUCUCCCUCUU
This is a non-coding RNA of Plasmodium vivax (malaria parasite P. vivax), 72 nucleotides long. The record is from the annotation of a RefSeq genome assembly. Lineage: Eukaryota; Apicomplexa; Aconoidasida; Haemosporida; Plasmodiidae.